UUAGUAUUCAGAGAAUGACCUGAACUUAGCUGUGUUAAGUUGCCUGCUCCACAGGAAACCACCUCUGUAACUGUUGCUUGCUGCUUUCACUUUAGGCAACACCCAAAGCCACUGUCAGAUGUCAUGGAGAUGAGACCUCACAAGCCUACUCAAUGUGAAGAUGAUGAGAAUGAAGACCUUUAUGAUGAUCUGCUUCCACUUAAAGAAUAAACCCUGAGGUAUCAUGAAGAAAUCCAUAUGCCCUGAAGUUACCAUCCUAGAGACAUCAUUUGGAGAGACUACAGUGCACAGAAGUAGAGAGGCCCAGCUGUGCCUUUCCCCAACUGAUGGAGUCUUCUCAGUGUCAGUCACCAGAUAUUUGACCGCAGGUAACUGAAACUGCGGCAAGUGAAACCGCAGAUAAGGAGGGACCACUGUAAAUAAGUGACAUAAAUGAUACCGCAAAGGACCAUAGCCUAACCGGCCAAGCAAACUGGAAGUACCUUUAGACUCAUGCUUUGCCAAGCUCUGUUCCAGAAUCACAUGAUGAAAAGAAUGAUGGAAAGAAAAGGUUUGUGAUAUUAAAAUUAAGGAAAUUACUCCAACUCAGAGUUUCAUCCUAAACUGAGAGACCAACAUCAAAAGAAUCUUCUCAAGUUUCUGAGUGACGGCAAGAAACUAGACUACUGUUACCAAGGAACUUUUUAAAGCAAACUGCUUUUGCUGAUAUGAGGAGAAAGUUAAUUAAUAAGAAAAUAUCUUAAAUGUGUUUUGAAGCUGUUGAAGGUGUGUAACAAUUACUCUGAAUUUAUUAUAGCACCAGUUAGAGACCCAGGAAAAGUAUAAAAUUGCACAUGAGGGCAGAGCUGAGAGAUGACAUCUGCUUUGGGAUUGAAAAAAAAAAAAAAACAGAAAGGGAACAAGAGAAAUAGCAAGUCAUUUAACAGCUGGAAUUCAAGACUCCAGACUCACCUAUAGGACCAAACUGCUCUUGAAAUAUACUAGAUUUCCCUUGGCUCCAGAGGUUUUGCCUUCAUCAAAUGCCUAUAACACUCUCAUUGUCAAAAGGAAUAAGUGAUGGUGAACACUGUGCCAGAUAGGAGGUACCACACACAGGUUCAGCAAAAAGCAGAAGCAAGAGGUAUAUUUUUUGUUAGAUCUUAGUUCAUCCCUAUGUAACAGAUAUUUCAGGGAAGGGAAGGAGAAAAUAACAAAGCUACCUAUGAGCAAAGGUAAAUGGGAUUCCCUAUCCUUGUUUCCCAGUUUCGGUCAUGGUAUUGCUUAUCCAUUAUUAGUUAUCCACUGCUGUGUAACAAAUUACUCCCAAACUUAGCAGCUUCAAACAACAAUAAACAUGUAUUGUGUCACAUAGUUUGUUUCAGGACUUUGGGAGUGGCUCAGCUGAAUGGUUGUGGCUCUAGGUGCUUUUUGUGGUUGCAGUCAAGAAGUCAGCUCAUUCACACAGCUGCAGACAAAAGGACUGGGAUCCUUGCAGUCUGAGGCCUGAUUAGGCAGGGGGCCUGAGUGUGUUGCCACAUGGACCUCCCCAUAGGGCUGCUUUUCGUGGCGUGGCAGCUGACUCCCCCCAGAACAGAUGAUCAAAAGCAGCAAAAGAGAAGCCUCAUAUGGCUUUUGCCCUAGCCUUGGGAAUCACACUCUUCCAUUUCUACAAUAUCCUAUUGGUUACAUAGCAGCCCUAUGCAGUGUGGGAGGGAACUGCAUACAGGCAUGAAUACCAGGAGUGGAAAACCACUAGAGACUGGCUACCAUUGUCAUUUACACAC
RNAcentral lists this long non-coding RNA (1763 nucleotides) under Pongo abelii (Sumatran orangutan). RNAcentral describes it as "lincRNA". Lineage: Eukaryota; Metazoa; Chordata; Mammalia; Primates; Hominidae. The record is from RNAcentral.